UCGGUCCUCGCGAUGCCUCUAGAUUAAAGUUUGAUCCUGGCUCAGGAUGAACGCUAGCGGCUUGCCUAAUACAUGCAAGUCGAGGGGUAAGGCUCUUUCGGGAGCACACGACCGGCGCACGGGUGCGUAACGCGUAUGCAACCUACCCUUAACAGUGGGAUAGCCCGAAGAAAUUCGGAUUAAUACCGCAUAACACCAUGAGGUGGCAUCGUCUUAUGGUUAAAACUCCGGUGGUUAAGGAUGGGCAUGCGUGACAUUAGCUAGUUGGUGAGGUAACGGCUCACCAAGGCGACGAUGUCAGGGGUUCUGAGAGGAUGAUCCCCCACACUGGUACUGAGACACGGACCAGACUCCUACGGGAGGCAGCAGUAAGGAAUAUUGGUCAAUGGACGCAAGUCUGAACCAGCCAUGCCGCGUGCAGGAAGACGGCCUUAUGGGUUGUAAACUGCUUUUAUAAAGGAAUAAACCCUCGUUUGCGAACGAGGCUGAAGGUACUUUAUGAAUAAGCACCGGCUAACUCCGUGCCAGCAGCCGCGGUAAUACGGAGGUGCAAGCGUUAUCCGGAUUUAUUGGGUUUAAAGGGUGCGCAGGCGGACCUGUCAGUCAGUGGUGAAAUCCCGGGGCUCAACUCCGGAACUGCCAUUUGAUACUGCAGGGUCUUGAAUCNGGUUGAGGUAGGCGGGAAUGUAGCCAUGUUAGCGGUUGAAAAUGCCCAUAGAUAUGGCUACCAGAAACACCCGAUCCGCGGAAAGGUAAGCUUUACCCAAAGCCCGCCGAUUUGAACGCUUCAAGGCCAU
RNAcentral lists this ribosomal RNA (797 nucleotides) under uncultured Owenweeksia sp. RNAcentral describes it as "bacterial SSU rRNA". It matches the Rfam family "Bacterial small subunit ribosomal RNA", at positions 1 to 723 of the family's 1533-position model. The record is from RNAcentral. Lineage: Bacteria; Pseudomonadati; Bacteroidota; Flavobacteriia; Flavobacteriales; Owenweeksiaceae.